CUUCUUAGUUCAGUUGGUAGAGCAGAGAACUGGAGGGAGUGAGCAAUGGCAAUCCAUAAGUUGCUGGUUCAAUUCCGGCUCAAAGG
RNAcentral lists this transfer RNA (86 nucleotides) under Cervus elaphus hippelaphus. Its description in RNAcentral is "tRNA-Ser". The record is from RNAcentral. Lineage: Eukaryota; Metazoa; Chordata; Mammalia; Artiodactyla; Cervidae.